Non-coding RNA from Pelobates cultripes (western spadefoot toad), 213 nucleotides. The record is from the annotation of a GenBank genome assembly. Lineage: Eukaryota; Metazoa; Chordata; Amphibia; Anura; Pelobatidae.
CAGCACUACUCACACUGGGGGAAAAUAACCUUUUUGGCGGCGAAACCCCUCUUCCCAUCGGGGUGUCCACCACAAAUACCUACCCAGAUAUUAAUACUUAAGCCUAAUUUUUAUCAUAUUUAGAAUGGGACAAGCACAAUCUUCCAAUCAAGCCUAAACAUGAUGUGUGGAACAAGGGGACCACACAGAUAGGAAGAUCCCCAGCAUGAUGAC